This 106-nucleotide non-coding RNA is filed under the name Flavobacteria bacterium MS024-3C. RNAcentral describes it as "SAM riboswitch aptamer (S box leader)". It matches the Rfam family "SAM riboswitch aptamer (S box leader)". From Rfam's summary of the family: The SAM riboswitch is found upstream of a number of genes which code for proteins involved in methionine or cysteine biosynthesis in Gram-positive bacteria. The SAM riboswitch acts at the level of transcription termination control. Lineage: Bacteria; Pseudomonadati; Bacteroidota; Flavobacteriia. The record is from Rfam by way of RNAcentral. RNAcentral also lists the same sequence under 1 other name.
UAGUUAUCAAGAAAGGUGGAGGGAUUAGACCCUGUGAAGCCUUAGCAACCCUUUGUAUUGUUCAAAGAAGGUGCUACAUUCUAUCUCAUUUGAGAAUAGAUAACCG